UUUCAGUUGAUAAAGAGAAGGCAGGAUCACAGAUAAAAACUGUUAUACUCAACUGUGUGGUAUAAAAUGGAGUUAAAGAUUUUUGGAUCUUUAGGAAAUCACAAAGCAAUUUCUUCAUAUACCUUGAGCAACACUGAGGAAGCAAAAAUUGCUGGUGACUGGAAGGCUGAACAUGAGUGACACAGGCUAAAACAUAUUUAAGUGGAUAAAAAUGAUGGUAGACCAGAAUUUGUCUGAAUUGCACGUAGAGUUCAUUAAAGCACCAGCCUCUGGUGGAAGUUUAUUCAUGUGUGAGAGUACCUGCAGGUUGGUCUGGAUCCCUGCUGGAGGCUGAGCAGAAGUAGCUGCUAUGGGAGGAAUUUGAUGAAGCUGCAACCUGUCACAGUUACAGCACUGGAUGUAGCAGGCAUAAAAAAUACUUGUCCUUACUUGUGAACCUGUUUCCAUCACACAGGAGGGGGAAAUUUCAAAAAGAUGAAGCAGAGCAGAAGAUCUAUAUUGGAAAUUAUUAUCUAAAAUCAACUGAGUCUAGGAAAUCCUUAUGGAAAAAUGAACUGUUCACAGUAAUUUGUAUACACAUACACACACUGUAAGACAUUGCAGGUUGAUUAAAGGGUAUCAGAGGAGAAAUUUUCUGUUCCAUGAAAAUACAUUGAGUAAGUAAACAAAAUUCCUGUUGCUAUGGAGUACCAACAGUUCUUUCAAAAAUCUUUUUCUAUGUCCGGACAAGGCUGUGGGAC
Long non-coding RNA from Passer domesticus (house sparrow), 740 nucleotides. RefSeq lists it as uncharacterized. The record is from RefSeq and is a predicted model, not a curated record. NCBI's taxonomy places the organism in Eukaryota, Metazoa, Chordata, Aves, Passeriformes, Passeridae. The transcript is spliced from 3 exons.